GGGCAAAAUCAAUUAUUAGAAGUUGUUUAGAGAAACAACUGGUUGUGAACCUACCUAUAGAUACACAUGGGUUGACCAACCAAAGUUGGGCUCGUGUGUAGUCUGUGUGGAUUCUAAUACCCACUAAGAAAUUAAAGUAAUUCCUCGAAUUGGAGGUUGAGGCUACCAAUUCGUAAAAAUACUGGAAAAAACUUUAGACUAAAGUCCAAGUCUUUAGUAUUAAUAAUUUAUGUACUAAUAUAGGUCUGGUUUUUCUUUAUGCAGCUAUGGCCACU
This 275-nucleotide long non-coding RNA is filed under the name Elaeis guineensis (African oil palm). RNAcentral describes it as "long non-coding RNA (EGUI_LNC062657)". Lineage: Eukaryota; Viridiplantae; Streptophyta; Magnoliopsida; Arecales; Arecaceae. The record is from RNAcentral.